AGAAUCAACGCUGGCGGCGUGCCUGACACAUGCAAGUCGAACGAGAAAGCGGGGGCAACUCCGUGAGUAAAGUGGCGACCGGGUGAGUAACACGUGACUAACCUACCCUCUAGUGGGGAACAACCUCGGGAAACCGGGGCUAAUACCGCAUAACCUCCGCGGGUGAAAUUCCUGCGGAGCAAAGGAGCAAUUCGCUGGAGGAGGGGGUCGCGGCUGAUUAGCUAGUUGGCGGGGUAACGGCCCACCAAGGCGAUGAUCAGUAGCCGGCCUGAGAGGGCGCACGGCCACACUGGAACUGAAACACGGUCCAGACUCCUACGGGAGGCAGCAGUGGGGAAUUUUGCGCAAUGGGGGAAACCCUGACGCAGCAACGCCGCGUGGAGGAUGAAGUCCCUUGGGACGUAAACUCCUUUCGACCGGGACGAAUAAUGACGGUACCGGUGGAAGAAGCCCCGGCUAACUUCGUGCCAGCAGCCGCGGUAAUACGAGGGGGGCGAGCGUUGUUCGGAAUUAUUGGGCGUAAAGGGCGCGUAGGCGGUGCGGUAAGUCUUCUGUGAAAUCCCCGGGCUCAACUCGGGGCUUGCAGAGGAA
RNAcentral lists this ribosomal RNA (591 nucleotides) under uncultured bacterium. RNAcentral describes it as "bacterial SSU rRNA". It matches the Rfam family "Bacterial small subunit ribosomal RNA", at positions 26 to 631 of the family's 1533-position model. The record is from RNAcentral.